This 1460-nucleotide ribosomal RNA is filed under the name metagenome. RNAcentral's name for it is "bacterial SSU rRNA". It matches the Rfam family "Bacterial small subunit ribosomal RNA". The record is from RNAcentral.
AGAGUUUGAUCAUGGCUCAGAACGAACGCUGGCGGCAGGCUUAACACAUGCAAGUCGAACGAGUAAGAGCCGUAGCAAUACGGAGUUCUGCUAGUGGCGCACGGGUGAGUAACGCGUGGGGAUAUGCCCUUUAGUACGGAAUAACAGUUGGAAACGACUGCUAAUACCGUAUACGCCCUUCGGGGGAAAGAUUUAUCGCUAAAGGAUUAGCCCGCGUGAGAUUAGGUAGUUGGUGGGGUAAUGGCCUACCAAGCCUACGAUCUCUAGCCGGUCUGAGAGGACGAUCGGCCACACUGGAACUGAGACACGGUCCAGACUCCUACGGGAGGCAGCAGUGGGGAAUAUUGGACAAUGGGCGAAAGCCUGAUCCAGCCAUGCCGCGUGAGUGAUGAAGGCCUUAGGGUUGUAAAGCUCUUUUGUCAGGGAAGAUAUUGACGGUACCUGAAGAAUAAGCACCGGCUAACUUCGUGCCAGCAGCCGCGGUAAUACGAAGGGUGCUAGCGUUGUUCGGAAUUACUGGGCGUAAAGCGCGCGCAGGCGGUCUAUCAAGUCAGAGGUGAAAUGCCGAAGCUCAACUUCGGAACUGCCUUUGAAACUGUUAGACUAGAAUAUAGGAGGGGAUAGCGGAAUUCCUAAUGUAGAGGUGAAAUUCGUAGAUAUUAGGAGGAACACCGGUGGCGAAGGCGGCUAUCUGGCCCAUUAUUGACGCUGAGGCGCGAAAGCGUGGGGAUCAAACAGGAUUAGAUACCCUGGUAGUCCACGCUGUAAACGAUGAGUGCUAGCUGUUGGGACCUUAGGUCUCAGUGGCGCAGCUAACGCAUUAAGCACUCCGCCUGGGGAGUACGGUCGCAAGAUUAAAACUCAAAGGAAUUGACGGGGACCCGCACAAGCGGUGGAGCAUGUGGUUUAAUUCGAGGCAACGCGAAGAACCUUACCAGGACUUGACAUGUCCAGUUUGGAUUUCAGAAAUGAUUUCCUUCAGUUUGGCUGGCUGGAACACAGGUGCUGCAUGGCUGUCGUCAGCUCGUGUCGUGAGAUGUUGGGUUAAGUCCCGCAACGAGCGCAACCCUCAUCUUUAGUUGCUACCAUUUAGUUGAGCACUCUAAAGAAACUGCCGGUGAUAAGCCGGAGGAAGGUGGGGAUGACGUCAAGUCUUCAUGGCCCUUAUGUCCUGGGCUACACACGUGCUACAAUGGCAGUGACAAUGCGCCGCUACCUCGCGAGGGGAAGCUAAUCGCAAAAAGCUGUCUCAGUUCGGAUUGUACUCUGCAACUCGAGUACAUGAAGUUGGAAUCGCUAGUAAUCGCGCAUCAGCAUGGCGCGGUGAAUACGUUCCCGGGUCUUGUACACACCGCCCGUCACACCAUGGGAGUUGGUUCUACCUUAAGCUGCUGUGCUAACCGCAAGGAGGCAGGCAACCACGGUAGGGUCAGUGACUGGGGUGAAGUCGUAACAAGGUA